AUUUCCGGUUGAUCCCGCCGGACCUGACUGCUAUCGGAUUGAUACUAAGCCAUGCGAGUCUUUGUAGUAAUACAAGGCAUACGGCUCAGUAACGCGUAGUCAACCUACCCUAUGGACAAGAAUAAUCUCGGGAAACUGAGCAUAAUUCUUGAUAGAUCAUAAUGCCUGGAAUGGUUUAUGGUUAAAAUGAUUUUUCGCCAUAGGAUGGGACUGCGGCCUAUCAGCUUGUUGGUGAGGUAAUGGCCCACCAAGGCGCUUACAGGUACGGGCUCUGAGAGGAGAAGCCCGGAGAUGGGUACUGAGACAAGGACCCAGGCCCUAUGGGGCGCAGCAGGCGAGAAAACUUUGCAAUGUGCGAAAGCACGACAAGGUUAAUCCGAGUGAUUUCUGCUAAAGGAAUCUUUUACCAGUUCUAAAAAUACUGGCGAAUAAGGGGUGGGCAAGUUCUGGUGUCAGCCGCCGCGGUAAAACCAGCACCUCAAGUGGUCAGGAGGAUUAUUGGGCCUAAAGCAUCCGUAGCCGGCUCUGUAAGUUUUCGGUUAAAUCUAUACGCUCAACGUAUAGGCCGCCGAAAAUACUGCACAGCUAGGGAAUGGGAGAGGUAGACGGUACUCGGUAGGAAGGGGUAAAAUCCUUUGAUCUAUCGAUGACCACCUGUGGCGAAGGCGGUCUACCAGAACAUGUUCGACGGUGAGGGAUGAAAGCUGGGGGAGCAAACCGGAUUAGAUACCCGGGUAGUCCCAGCUGUAAACGAUGCAGACUCGAUAAUGCAUUGGCACAUAGCCAGUGCAGUGUCGCAGGGAAGCCGUUAAGUCUGCCGCCUGGGAAGUAC
RNAcentral lists this ribosomal RNA (832 nucleotides) under uncultured Candidatus Nitrosopumilus sp. Its description in RNAcentral is "bacterial SSU rRNA". It matches the Rfam family "Archaeal small subunit ribosomal RNA", at positions 1 to 838 of the family's 1478-position model. The record is from RNAcentral. Lineage: Archaea; Thermoproteati; Nitrososphaerota; Nitrososphaeria; Nitrosopumilales; Nitrosopumilaceae.